AGCUGCAGAAGAAGCACCGGCUAACUCCGUGCCAGCAGCCGCGGUAAUACGGAGGGUGCGAGCGUUAAUUCGGAAUUACUGGGCGUAAAGCGCAUGCAGGUGGUUUUGUUUAAGUCAGAUGUGAAAGCCCGGGGCUCAACCUCGGAAUUGUCAUUUGAAACUGGCAAACUAGAGUACUGUAGAGGGGGUAGAAUUUCAGGUGUAGCGGUGAAAUGCGUAGAGAUCUGAAGGAAUACCGGUGGCGAAGGCGGCCCCCUGGACAGAUACUGACACUCAGAUGCGAAAGCGUGGGGAGCAAACAGGAUUAGAUACCCUGGUAG
This 320-nucleotide ribosomal RNA is filed under the name uncultured bacterium. RNAcentral describes it as "bacterial SSU rRNA". It matches the Rfam family "Bacterial small subunit ribosomal RNA", at positions 477 to 793 of the family's 1533-position model. The record is from RNAcentral.